UACGUAGGUGGCAAGCGUUGUCCGGAUUUACUGGGUGUAAAGGGAGCGUAGACGGCGAGACAAGUCUGGAGUGAAAGGCCGGGGCCCAACCCCGGGACUGCUCUGGAAACUGCCUGGCUGGAGUACAGGAGAGGUAAGUGGAAUUCCUAGUGUAGCGGUGAAAUGCGUAGAUAUUAGGAGGAAUACCAGUGGCGAAGGCGGCUUACUGGACUGUAACUGACGUUGAGGCUCGAAAGCGUGGGGAGCAAACAGG
This 253-nucleotide ribosomal RNA is filed under the name uncultured bacterium. RNAcentral describes it as "partial 16S ribosomal RNA". It matches the Rfam family "Bacterial small subunit ribosomal RNA", at positions 524 to 776 of the family's 1533-position model. The record is from RNAcentral.